GUGGGGAAUAUUGCGCAAUGGAGGCAACUCUGACGCAGCCAUGCCGCGUGCAGGAAGAAGGCGCUACGCGUUGUAAACUGCUUUUAACCGGGAAGAAACCCCAGGACGUGUCCUGGGUUGACGGUACCGGAGGAAUAAGCACCGGCUAACUUCGUGCCAGCAGCCGCGGUAAUACGAAGGGUGCAAGCGUUAUCCGGAUUCAUUGGGUUUAAAGGGUGCGUAGGCGGAGCGUUAAGUCAGUGGUGAAAUCCUGCAGCUUAACUGUAGACUUGCCAUUGAUACUGGCGCUCUUGAGUGCGCUUGAAGUGGGCGGAAUGUGCCGUGUAGCGGUGAAAUGCUUAGAUAUGGCACAGAACACCAAUUGCGAAGGCAGCUCACUAAGGCGAUACUGACGCUGAGGCACGAAAGCGUGGGGAUCGAACAGGAUUAGAUACCCCGGUAGUCC
This 445-nucleotide ribosomal RNA is filed under the name uncultured bacterium. RNAcentral describes it as "bacterial SSU rRNA". It matches the Rfam family "Bacterial small subunit ribosomal RNA", at positions 354 to 796 of the family's 1533-position model. The record is from RNAcentral.